Brassica napus (rape) is the source of this 2446-nucleotide long non-coding RNA. RefSeq lists it as uncharacterized. The record is from RefSeq and is a predicted model, not a curated record. The transcript is spliced from 3 exons. Lineage: Eukaryota; Viridiplantae; Streptophyta; Magnoliopsida; Brassicales; Brassicaceae.
UUAAAUAAACUAUAUUGUUGAAUUCAUAUAUUUGUGAACUAUUCAUUUCAAUUUAAAAUAAUUCACUUCCCCACGUGCAGUAAAUCAAUACAUGAAGAUUAACAAGAUUCUUGUGGAUGUCUUAGCCCAGACACAUGAAAUCCUUGUUAAUUUUUGUCUCAUAUCGCGUAAAAUGGAUAUUAGCCACUUCAACCUUCUUCAAAAAUUGAUGAUGAAAUGAUCAUUUAAUAUCAUCUUAGGAGCGAGUCAAGAUCCAUCUUAGGAGCGAGUCAAGAUCCACCUUGUGAUGUGUUUCGACAGGAUGCAAAACAAUUUUAUAUUGAAAAAUGUGCCUUGAAAGGGCUUUAAACCUCGCAGGGCAACCGUCAUUAUAAGAAAAGUAUAUUUACACUAUCGAGAAAUAAGUUGUAUUGCUACUGGAGCGGAGUAGAGCUAAGAAUGAAAGAAUAUUGUGACAUAUACGACUAUGACGAUUAAAUAAAAUAUCAUGAUAAUGUACAAGAAUUGUUACAAAAAAAAUAAUCAUUUUUUCAUUGGAGAUGUAUUGUUAUAACAAAAACUAUGAACCAAUGUAUUGUAUUCAGUGUCGAACAUUCUUUCGCUUAUUACAAUUUCUGUUUCUAUUCUAUUUACAAGCUUCGAUUUUGACAAAAUAUAGUAUAAAAUUUCAAAUUACAAGUCAUCGCCAAAUUUUUCAUCUUUCACCAUUGUUCGCAUUGAAUAUUUUUUCACAUAUUUUUGUUUUUUCUACCACUACCAAAUAGUGUAUCCGUAGUGGACCAUAUUUAUUCGCCAAUUACAAGUUUGAUUUCUAUUAUAUUUAUCAAAACUCAACAACAAUAAAAUAGAAUAACAUAUGAUAUGAUGUAAAGUUACAUGUCAUCCUCAUUUGUUGAUUUUCCAUAACUUUUUACAUUAAUCUCUUCUUCACAAAUAUCUUAUUGGUAUAUCUACUAGUGCCUAAUAUUGUACCAUAUAUUGUAGAUUAGAAGCUUUUCAUCAAUUUAUAAAACCUUAAAACAAUACAAUAAAAUAGCAUAUGAAGAUAAAUUACUUGCCAUUCUCAACUGUUCAUUUCUAUAAUUGUUCAGAUUAAUCUCUUUACUCGCAUAUAUUUUCUUCCAAUUCAACACACUGGAAAUUUAUCAAACAAAUUAAGCCUUUAAUAUUGACACUGUAAUUCAGUAUCAUUCAAUUAGACAUUUCAUCCUCUUUUUUCAAUUCCUACUUAAUCGAUAAACUGGAAUUAGAAAUUGAUCAAAACAGCAAAACUAAUUUUUCAAAGAGAAGAUACAUAAUCAAUUUUGAUUGAAUAUCGAGUGUGUGGAUUGAUGGGAACAAGUUCUGAAUUGUUUUUCCCAGUGAUGGAUACAUAAAAAGGAAGAGUUUUACUAAUAAUUUCUUAAAAAGAAUUGAGUUUUAAGUGACUAAUUACUUGUGUAUAAUAUUAAACAUUAUUUUGUUUCACAUCAACUAUUGUACUAAUCCUAUUGAAUUUCUAUCUUAUGUUUAGAGAAAUGUUACACCGACAUUUGUAAAUGUAAGAAAAUAAAACACUCCAAAAUUCAUAAGUUAAAAGCAAUUCCAUCAGUUGAGAUACUCUCUACGGUUUCUGAGAUUUUUUAAAUUAAUAUUCUAAUAACAUUUUGUUAUGUAAUUCAGUUUUAAUUUAUUUGAAAAAAGUUAAAAGCAAUAAUAUAAUGACAUGUUGCUUUCUUUUUAAUAUUCACCUCCAUCUUACCGAUCUGUUGUAGUUAGGGUGUCAAUUGGUUAGGCCCACCCAUGGAUUCACCCAUUCAAAACAAACAUGAGUGGGUGAUGGUCAUACCCAAAUAACUAAUGAUGUAACUGGGUUAAAGACCCACUUUGCCCAUGGGUUAACUGGUCCAAACCAAAUGGGUGUUGGGCUGGCCCAAAACACUUAAUUUCUAGGUUUAGACAAUUUGGGGAAAAGACCCACUUCUCUUCUCCCGUUCGACGAUUCUCUUCUUUUCUUCCACCAUUUCUCUUCUCCAUUCCCAGAUUUUCGUAGCCGCGAGUCCUCCCUUAAGUCUUCCUUAUGAAUCAGUAACCUAACUCUGAAACUUCCUUUAGCUGUCUUCUUCUGUGGUUUCUCUUCCUUGUAGAGGAGUCAUCUACUUAUAGGGAGGUUUAGCUCUGUCUCCAUUUCUCUUCGCGAUUUCAGGCUGAAGACACAAGUAGACAAGCCGGAAGAUUGCUAUCACAAUUGAUUUUGUGAUCCUUGUUAUUGGUAUGUCGCCAACAGAUCAUGCAAUAUUUCUGUGAAAGAAUCAAUAAAAACAAAUGUCUUUGAGACUAUUUCAAUUUCAGUCAUAUUUGAAUAUUUUUUUUUUUGAAAAAACAUAUUUGAAUUUUUAUUGCUGGAUUUAAAGAAAUUCUAUAAUUUUUAUUUGCUAUAAGUAUAUAAGUUUAUAAAUUGAGUUUA